GAUGAACGCUGGCGGCGUGCCUAAUACAUGCAAGUCGAGCGAACAGACGAGGAGCUUGCUCCUCUGACGUUAGCGGCGGACGGGUGAGUAACACGUGGAUAACCUACCUAUAAGACUGGGAUAACUUCGGGAAACCGGAGCUAAUACCGGAUAAUAUAUUGAACCGCAUGGUUCAAUAGUGAAAGACGGUUUUGCUGUCACUUAUAGAUGGAUCCGCGCCGCAUUAGCUAGUUGGUAAGGUAACGGCUUACCAAGGCAACGAUGCGUAGCCGACCUGAGAGGGUGAUCGGCCACACUGGAACUGAGGCACGGUCCAGACUCCUACGGGAGGCAGCAGUAGGGAAUCUUCCGCAAUGGGCGAAAGCCUGACGGAGCAACGCCGCGUGAGUGAUGAAGGUCUUCGGAUCGUAAAACUCUGUUAUUAGGGAAGAACAAAUGUGUAAGUAACUAUGCACGUCUGGACGGUACCUAAUCAGAAAGCCACGGCUAACUACGU
This 496-nucleotide ribosomal RNA is filed under the name uncultured bacterium. RNAcentral describes it as "partial 16S ribosomal RNA". It matches the Rfam family "Bacterial small subunit ribosomal RNA", at positions 28 to 506 of the family's 1533-position model. The record is from RNAcentral.